Molecule: long non-coding RNA, 323 nt
Filed under: Setaria viridis
Lineage: Eukaryota; Viridiplantae; Streptophyta; Magnoliopsida; Poales; Poaceae
Description: long non-coding RNA (SVIR_LNC009517)
Source: RNAcentral
ACUUGACAAGCUGUUGUAUAGUGGGUGCAAUUUACUCUCUAGUUAUUAUGCAUCUAUGGAAUGUGACGGAUUUAUUUUCCAAAGAAAUAGUUAGAGAAACUAAUGAUGGUUUGCGCUAAUGGUGGUGCUAAUCAAUUUUUAAGGAGGCUAAUCUCAAGUCAAUAACUUUCAUUAACUAUUACCUCUUUGGCAUGUCAGCGCGUGCUUGGUAAUUGUCUUUGUCCUAUCAAGGCAUUAUGCAGAGAUAAAGAAAACAGUCAAAUAAUCGAUCUUAGUCCAAUGACAUUUUGACAUUUCAUUAUAUAUAGGAUACUCCCUUGUCA